Molecule: transfer RNA, 72 nt
Filed under: Capra hircus (goat)
Lineage: Eukaryota; Metazoa; Chordata; Mammalia; Artiodactyla; Bovidae
Also listed under: 1 other name
Rfam family: tRNA
About the family: Transfer RNA (tRNA) molecules are approximately 80 nucleotides in length. Their secondary structure includes four short double-helical elements and three loops (D, anti-codon, and T loops).
Source: Rfam by way of RNAcentral
UCCCCGGUAGCUCAGAUGGUAAAGCAUCUGCCUGCAAAGCAGGAGACCUGGGUUCAAUCCCUGGGUCAGGAA